UACAGAGGUCCCAAGCGUUGUUCGGAUUCAUUGGGCGUAAAGGGUGCGUAGGCGGCGCGGUAAGUCGGGUGUGAAAUCUCGGGGCUUAACUCCGAAACUGCAUUCGAUACUGCCGUGCUUGAGGACUGGAGAGGAGACUGGAAUUUACGGUGUAGCGGUGAAAUGCGUAGAUAUCGUAAGGAAGACCAGUGGCGAAGGCGGGUCUCUGGACAGUUCCUGACGCUGAGGCACGAAGGCGAGGGGAGCAAACGGG
Molecule: ribosomal RNA, 253 nt
Filed under: uncultured bacterium
Lineage: Bacteria
Description: partial 16S ribosomal RNA
Rfam family: Bacterial small subunit ribosomal RNA
Source: RNAcentral